UAUCCCACAUUUCUUUAUCCGCGUAAAUAUUCGACAAAGCAAUACUGUCACCAACAUAGCCAGGGUCCAAGUUGAUCAACUUAUCCCGAACUUCAGUGGCUAGCUUUAAAUCACCAUGGAGGCUACACGCCCCCAGUAAGGUUCGCCACAUGACCGCAUUCGGAGGCACCGACAUCUCCAUCACGAAGUCAUAGGCUUCUCUCAGAUGGCUGCUUCGGCAUAAGAGGUCCACCAUGCAGCCAAAAUGAGGCUCUCUUGGUUCUAUACCAUAGUCUUCGGUCAUACUUCGAAAAUGACGUUUCCCUUCCUCGACCAACCCUGCAUGGCUGCAAGCCAUUAAAACUCCAAUGAACGUUACAUCGUUCGGGGAUACAAUAAAUUUCAUUUCUGAGAAAAGUUGAAGAGCUUCAUGAGCUUGGCCAUGUACUGCAUGCCCAACAAUCAUAGAAGUCCAAGUUGUUACAUCUUUGUUUCUCGUACUAUCAAACAACUUCCUUGCAUUUCCAAUAUCACCACACUUAGCAUACAUAUUUAUAAGAGCAUUAUUCAAAUGCAAAUCAAUUUUCAUCCCUUGUUUACGCCGAACAAAAUCAUGAAUCCAUUCACCCAUUUCGAGUCCCCCAGUAUCCGCACAAGCAGAGAGAGCGGUCGUCAAAACAAUUUGAUCAGGCUCCACAUUGUUCAUCAACAUCAGCCUAAACAACUCCAAACCUUUAUUGGAUUUAUGAUUUUCAACAUAAGCCGAAAUCAAAGACGUCCAACAAAUAAUAUUCUUUUCGGGUAUUUCAUCAAACACUUGGUGUGCAUCAAAUAAACAUUGUUAAGCAGGAACAAUUGACCUCUUUGUAAGAGAUCAACGGCCUCUAGAGCUAGGAAGCCAAAAGUGUCGAACACAAAUGGUAUACAAGAAUGUUGAUUGUUGAAGCACCUUUUAUCAUGUUUGGUGACUUUGUUUGAAACGGAUUUGAGGGUAGCCUAUCAUACAACAAAAGUAUCUCUCCCCAAUCGUACAUGUGAAGAAACAACGAUUAAGUCCACACAUAACUGUUCUGUUUUUUUUUUCUUUUUCAAAUAGGUGCAUGUCGAGUUAGAUCGGUCAAUGAUAUAUAGAAAUCAUAACAUAAUCGUAUUUUAACUACGAAGUAGGUGUAUGGAUGACCUUGUGGUAUUCUCCUAAACUGUUUUCAGAAAAUUUCAUACAUUUUACUAUGAAUACUCAAAAGACUAAGACAAAUACUUUUCAACCCAAACUCAUAGUAUAUCAUACACGUUUUCGGCAUGCUAAGUUCAUACUGCAGAAUAUAUGUCAAGCUAUGCCUUUCAUCCAAUUUUGCAGUUCAUUUUUAACAAAAGUAAGAUGCAAUCAAGCACCACACAUAUCACCAUGCACAAUAAUCCAAAAAUCAUACAUUUCUCCACUCAAAAAACAUAUUACAGAGUAAGAUGCAAUCUUACACCAAAAUCAAAUCAAAAAAGGGGAUUUAGAAAUUUGAUCAGGUCCUUCAGUUGACUUCUUUCUCCACUAAACUGCAUCUUUAUGGAUGAAACUUUGAGUUGCUUGCUUCUUUGCAGGACGACUAACAGGAAUCCCUGCAUCACACAUAUCACCAUGCACAAAAAUUCUCAGAGCCAACAUUUCAUUCAUACAUAAAGAGGGUGCUAGAUUAACAUUUAUUUUUUGAUACACUAUAUACCAGAUGAGAGUUUCAUCCCUUCCAGGAUGUAAAAAUCAUAUUUCGGUAUUCGACAAAAUACACGGCUAAUAACAAUAAUAUCAUACUUUAUAAGGAGCUGAAGUGAAGAUGAAUUUAAAAUUAACAUAAAAAUGGAUGUACUGAAAGAAAGAACAGAUAGAAGUGGGAACCUGUAAGGGUGAAAAGGAUAUAUAAUGUAAUGGAGAAAUUACAAUCUACCACCCCAAAACUUUUAUCGGUAAAAGCUUUGGCACAUCAAGUUAAAACCGUACAUUUGAUACCUUGUGAUUAAUUAAAAUUUUACGUACCUUGGUUAGGUUCAACAGAUUUAGCAUGAGAGCGCUUCUUCUUCACAUAGUUCUCUUGCAAGGGCUUAGGCUUUUGAAAUGAGAACCGUGCAGAAGUAACACCAUCUGUCGUGUACUCUGAAUGAUUCACCAAGAACCUUAAAACACAAGCACCGGGAGCAAAAUGUAAGAAAGAUGAAAGCCAAAAUUUAAUAAUGAAGAUGACAAUGGUUCAAUUAAGACAAGGUAGCUUUCAAGGUCACAUUGCAGAGAUAGUAAAGAAGAAGCAGAAGGAACAUACUUGUUCACUUCAGGCAUUGAGCGCAAUUUCUUGCCUGAUGGUGCUUCAUAGUAUCUGAAAUAUUAAAAAAUCACAACAAUGACAAAAUGAUGAUAAUGAAAAUUAGAAAUUCUAUGAGGGCAUACUUUCCUAGACAAAAUUCAUAAUAGUUGUAUUGAUACAUAGGUUUUGAUAAAAAGAAUGACCAAUAAUGGAUACUUACAUAUCUCCAAAUUGGCUGCUUCCUUCACCUCUAAUUUGUAGCAGUCGCUGCCAUCCAUCUGGAGUCUGUGGAAUUCCUGGCUUGUCAAUAGCCCAAAUCAUACUGUCAUCCUGAGAAACAUCCUCUGGAUCAUCACAAGAAAUAUCAGGUCGCCACUCCCGAGCAUUUUCACAAACAAAAGGAUGUUGAAGGUUAUGUUCACGUAUUUCUUCAUAUUUUUUCUCCGUUGGAGUUAACCUCCAUUUAGAACAGUAAUGACAUUGAACAGCGAAAGCACCAACUACUGGCAAAACUCUAUGAGCUGAACUCCGAGGUGGUCUACGCAGAAGGGGAUCAUGGGCAAGUUGAUUUGUGUUGUCACUAUUUGUCAUAGGGUUAUAUUCAUCAUCAUCAUCUGAAGAAGAAGAAGAAGAAGAGGAAGAAGAAGAAGAAGAAACGUAUAUGUGAUCUGGAAGACGAUGCAUUUGAUUUUCCAAGAAAUCACACCUGAUACAUUCAAAAAAGGAUCAAAGAAGUAAUAAAGCAAUAAACCUUAAUAUUGUUAAACAUCCAACCUAAUGAAUAUAAUUAAGCAGGCAAAAGCACUUUCUUGAAUAAAUUCAACGCACAAAAGAAUUUUUUUGUCAAUAUUCUUGGGACUGUAUAUCAAUCCACUCAAGAUUUUUUUUUCCUUUCUAUAGUCGAUCUACUCAAGAUCAUUUUUUUUUAUAGUCGAUCCACCCAAGAUCUAUGCAUAUCUUCUUUUGUCCAUAUUCAUUAAAUAAUAAUAAUUAGGCUUAGCCAAGGUUUUCAAAUCAUGAAUCCGAAGAACUAUUUUCUAACUCAUAAAUCAAAUUUUAUUACGAAUCGUAAAAACGACAUUUGAACUAAAAACAAGCAACAUAAGCAAAAACUUAUAAGCUGAUACAUCAUGUUUGAAUUUCAAAAUAGUUCAAGAUUGAAAUGACAAAUCAAUGAGAGUAGCAAUAACACAACAAAUCAACAGAAAGAGGAGAAAUUGGGAUUGACUUCAAACAAGACAAGGGAACCAUAAACAUAAAAUAACAGAGAAGAGACUUGGAAGCACUGACCAGGAAAAAGUAAUGCAAAAAGCGCACUUAGGAGGAUAGGAGCGAAGACCUGGUCCCUUUUAAGAUCUGGAUCUGGACAACAGUUGACAGCAGAACGGAUUUGGCUCGUGCGGCCUGGUCCCUUUCUGGGAUCGCACACUAUCUCUCCUGCGCUAUAGUCAAUAGUUGGAUUAAUCGAACAGAUGAGGGAAAAUAAACGAAAAAACAGAUAAUAAAAAUCAACUUUCUAUGAAUCUCGCUCUACUCUCACACAAUCUUUCAUCAUCUUGACCACGCACGCACAGCGGCGAUGAGAAGACCUAUAAAUGGGGCACCAAGUUUAGUGGCAACAACGUGGAGUUCGCAUGGCGCACCACGUGGCACAUAAAAUGCAAUUCACCAAAAAAAAGAUAAUGUAAUUAUGAGAUCAAUAAUUACUUACUAUUACUAUUUACUAUUAUGAUUUGUUCUAUAUUCUUGAUUUUUCUGGUUUAGUCAUUUUUAUCAAGUCAGUAUCAAAUCAACUGAUUAUCAGUUAUAAUCAAGGUUCUUAAUAUUUUCUUUCCUCCUCUCAUCUUACAUCCCACAACUUCAACAUGUGUAAACAAAGAGCUUUCAAAUGUAACUUAAAUUCACACUCACAUAAGGUUUAAAUUUUGACAAUCUACAGGCAUGUUUAAUUAUUGUUUUACUCUAUCAAUUAAAAAAGGUAAUAAACAAUUCCAUUUCUUGUUUUGAAAAUUUUGUACUGGAACUAGGGAAAACAAUACAAAACUCUAGAUAUUUAAAACAAAGUGAAAACAAUGUAACAUUUCUUUAAUUAAAAGUGAUAGCAAAAAAUUAAAACGGAAAGCACACCUAUAAAUUUCUAAAUACAAUGGUUGUGAUGGUGAACGUUGACAGAACAAAACAAAGGAGUAAAUCCACAUUAGUUAGUCCUCUGCAUCCAUUUAAUAUGGCUCAAUGUUUAUAGUAAGUUGGUGACAAAUUAAAAAUGGAUGAAAAAACCACAAAAUUAUAAAGAUUCAUAGAUAUGAAGUUGGACAGUACAAACCUUGCGUCUCCUUCUCCACAAAUUUAAUAUUUCAAUUUUCGUAAAGGCUUUACUAGAUAGCCUGCUGCUCCGAAUUUCAAGCACUUAACAACAACGGAUACCUCAUCUUGUGCGGACAUCAUUUAUCAAGACAAGAUAUUCAAAACAUUGAUGAGAAGCAGAACAUAAUGCCUCAACUCAAGAAUCUUCUUAUUGGUCUAUAAGAGCAUACAAAAUGGAGGACCCCAUUUUUUAGUACUUAAACGGGUCCCACGUGUACACAUCACUCAUUUAUAAUUUUUUAAUAGUAGUACUUAAUAAGAACUCAAUCCCUCUAACACUGCUUACACAAAUUUCUUAAAUGGGACCCACAAAUCAACUAUCAAUAACUUUAUAUCAGUACAUAUCAAAUAAGAGCCAAGUAAAUAACUAAACCUUACUUAUAAUAGGAAUUCUGCACAAUUCUGUCUUGUGGUGUGUACUUUAACAUCCUCAUACCCUUCUUCGGACCUCAUCAUGGCCAAUUAUAUGUUCCCCCUCUGCAUUCAGUGCAUCAAUUACAUGUCUUGCUAAUUUCAUGAAAUAACUGUCAAGCAUGAAAAAUCAACUGUUUUAGAAAUAAUCAUAAAUUGCAUAAGAUUUAAGCUAUACCAGCCAAACGCUCAACGCUCACACCCUAGGAAUAAAAAAAAUAACUCAAUCAAAUGACCACUUUUUAACGGAUAAAAAAAACUUCUCAAUAUAUUCAUACUAAGAUUAUAAAAGCAAAACUUAGACCUGAUAGUAAUUACAAAAUACAAUAAAACUUGCUAAUUGAACUCUAAAAUGACAUUAAAAACCCUAUAUGAUUUUCUGUGAUCAACCCUCAUCAUGGCCAAGAUACAAGUAAGGCUAACAGGUUCAAAUAGAAUCGUUUGACACACAUAUAGCUAAAACCAUAACACUCACAAAAAAAAAAAAAAAAACAUUCAUACACACACACCAUGAUAAUUGAUAACAACAUCUCAACAAAACCAAAAACCUUUUGUUGAAAAUUUGGGGCCUAACUCAUCCUUACAAAACCAGCUUGUAAGGUGAGGAGUGCCUCCUCUUUAUAAACUCUUCUCAAGAGUGCUAUCUAUCCAAUGUGGGACUAAAUCCACCCCCUCAAAGCCAACACAAUGAAGGUGUUGGAGGCUGCAAUGAAGGCUAACCAAAGGUUGCAAUUUAGGCGACUAGGGGCGGACCGCAAUUAAAGCGGAAUUUCCAACACCGUUCAAUCACUCACUAAACACUACCAAAGCUACAGAAACUAUGAAGCUAUACUCCUCAGAUUAGGCAUUUCUAGUGUCGGAUACGUAUUAUGUCUAACACCGACGCAUAUAAUUAGAAUUAUCAUUUUCUCAAAUUAUUAUCGGUGUCGACGAAUCCGUGUUGCGUCCGGUGUCUGUGCUCCAUAACUUCUAAAAAACUUAAAACAAAAACAUUUUCUCACAAACCCUAUGAUAACAUUAGGCUUAUACACUGUCAUUCGCCAAUAACUUGCUAUAUAAUUCAAUUGACAAAACCGGAAUUCAUAAGUUAGAUAAGAGCUUGCCUUAGACCAAUUUUUCAACUCUGAUACAUACACAUGCCUUUGCAUUCUGAAACCAGCCACGGAAACACUACUGCAGCCCUCCAUAACACGACUUCGACGCAACCAACUCAAUCUUGAAACUCGUCCAUAGCAAAAAUAUUUCCAUCAUUACUUACACAUUUUCUCUUCAAACUCUUUCAUAAAAAACAGACACAAACAACAUUAUCCAAAUCCUAACAAACCCCAAAAAUAACAUGUUCAUAACUCAAACGAACAACCUCCUUUGCGUGCCUGCAACGCGCUUCCUCAUUCAUGCAAAUCGAAGAGGUUUCAUUUGGUUUGGAGUGUCUCUAAUAACCUGUUGUUGCGCAAGACUGAAUAUAUCUAUCACCAAGUUCAGAUGAUCACCAUUAUGAUGUAUAAACUUUUAACAUAAAUGAAAUAAAAGAAAUCACAAGUUCCUGAUAUGCUUAUUCUAUCAGUAAAUAUUCAAUAAAAACACCAUCAGAUAAAUGGAAUUCUGCCUAUUUUUAGCCCGCUUUAUAGUAUCAAAUAUUAAUAAAAUAAAAAAUGGAAACGGCCUGCUGGUGUAGGAUUUGGACGGCUAGGUCCCCUAGAUUAGUCACUCAUUGAGCCGGAUACCGAAUUUUCAAAAAAAUUACAAAAAAAUGAAAAUUAUUCUUUAAACUGAGUGUAACAGACUGAAUUUUACCGAUUUACUGUUGGAAACGGUUAUAACUUGCAGUGAUCUUUGAAUAUAAGUUUGUACCACUUUUAUUGUUGGAAUGUCAUUGAGUUGGUUUCUAUUAUGAUUUUGUUUGCAACUAAAAACCGGACGGGACUGAAUAGAAAAGGAAAAACAAACUAAACAGCGUUUUGGAAUCUUCUUGUACCUUCAAACAAUCCUUAUGAGUGCUCUAAUGGGCUACAAGGCCAUGGGAAGUAAAACUGUAACUUUUCAUACUUCUGAUCAAAUGUCAUUACAGGAAGAUUAUCAUUUGAAGUUCUAAAUUAACUAACCAAACUUCCCACUUCAAUUGAGCUGAAGCCAUGAGCUUUAGACUGUUUAAUCUGAUUCCUAACAAUAAUCUUUUUAUCCCACAUUUCUUUAUCCGCGUAAAUAUUUGACAAAGCAACACUGUCACCAACAUAGCCAGGGUCCAAGUUGAUCAACUUAUCCCGAACUUCAGUGGCUAGCUUUAAAUUACCAUGGAGGCUACACGCCCCCAGUAAGGUUCGCCACAUGACUGCAUUCGGAGGCACCGGCAUCUCCAUAAUGAAGUCAUAUGCUUCUCUCAAAUGGCCGCUUCGGCAGAAGAGGUCCACCAUGCAGCCAAAAUGAGGCUCUCUUGGUUCUAUACCAUAGUCUUCGUUCAUACU
This 7501-nucleotide long non-coding RNA is filed under the name Medicago truncatula (barrel medic). RNAcentral's name for it is "long non-coding RNA (MTRU_LNC000418)". Lineage: Eukaryota; Viridiplantae; Streptophyta; Magnoliopsida; Fabales; Fabaceae. The record is from RNAcentral.